RNAcentral lists this transfer RNA (73 nucleotides) under Ixodes scapularis (black-legged tick). It matches the Rfam family "tRNA". From Rfam's summary of the family: Transfer RNA (tRNA) molecules are approximately 80 nucleotides in length. Their secondary structure includes four short double-helical elements and three loops (D, anti-codon, and T loops). Further hydrogen bonds mediate the characteristic L-shaped molecular structure. tRNAs have two regions of fundamental functional importance: the anti-codon, which is responsible for specific mRNA codon recognition, and the 3' end, to which the tRNAs corresponding amino acid is attached (by aminoacyl-tRNA synthetases). tRNAs cope with the degeneracy of the genetic code in two manners: having more than one tRNA (with a specific anti-codon) for a particular amino acid; and 'wobble' base-pairing, i.e. permitting non-standard base-pairing at the 3rd anti-codon position. Lineage: Eukaryota; Metazoa; Arthropoda; Arachnida; Ixodida; Ixodidae. The record is from Rfam by way of RNAcentral.
CCCUGGUUAGCUCGGUUGGUAGAGUGCGCCACUGGAAAUGGAGAGGUCCCGGGUUCGAUACUUGGACCAGGCG